AUGUGUUUGUAUGUUCUAGGACCUCCAGGUUUGACGGGAUUCCCAGGAGUUACAGGAGCUAAAGGGGACCGAGGAGAUCCAGGCAGAUUGACAAUUGGAUUGCCUGGCCCACCUGGCAGAGAUGGCACUCCAGGCUUGCCAGGGCCUCCAGGACUUCCUGGUCCAUCACGUUCUGAUUUGAGACCAGAUGGUAUCUUUAGUGGAGAACCUGGAGAGCCAGGGACACCUGGGCAGAGGGGACCACCGGGGACAUUCGGUCCCAAAGGAUUCAAAGGCGAAGGAGGCGACUGUGCCUGCGAUGGAGGGGUGACAGGAUAUGGCCUCAAGGGAGAGCCAGGUUCACCUGGCCAGCCGGGAAGACCAGGGGAAUUUGGGCCAAAAGGCCCUUUGGGAGACCCAGGAAUUGGGGAACCGGGCCCACGUGGGCCACCGGUAAGUAGAGUUUUCUCCAUUUGCUGGUGAUGGGAAAUGAUGCUGCCUUUUGUUGCAUUGAUAAUAUGGAGAAGAUCCAUGCAAGAGGAGCCUUGCAUGAAGAAUGGAUGCCAGGAUGAAUCAAGAGAGAGAAUGAUAGAUUGACAGACAGACAGAUAGAUCAAUAGAUAGGUGGACAGGCAGAAGCUCUGACAAAUUCUAAAUCUCAAUAGAGUGGAAAAGUCUUUUAACCAGGGAAAUGGUGAUGGCACCAGAGGCAGCAAUUGCACCUUCUACUCCUCAUCGAUUUACCAACAAGUUAUAUCAAAAUCUGCAUUGCUGUGAGUUUCCUGGGCUGUAUGACCAUGUUCCAGAAGCAUUCUCUCCUGACGUUUCACCCACAUCUAUGGCAGACAUCCUCAGAGAUUGUAAGGUCUGUUGGAAAUGAUGCAAGUGGGGUUUAUAAAUCUGGGGAAGAUUCAGGGUGGGAGAAAGAAUUCUUUUCUGAUGGAGGCAAGUGUGAAUGUUGCAGCUGGCCAGCUUGAUUAGCAUUGAAUAGCCUUUCAGCUUCAAUGUCUGGCUGCUUCCUGCCUGAGGGAGUCCUUGGUUGGGAGGUGCAACAUUCACACCUGCCUCAAACAGCCAAGAGUUUUUUCUCCCACCCUGGACAUUAUUCCACAGAUAUAUACACCCCACUUGCCUAGUGUCCAACAGACUUCACAACCUAUGAGGAUGCCUGACAUAGAAGUGGGUGAAACAUCAGGAGGGAAUGUUUCUGGAACAUGGCUGUAAAGCCUGGAAAACUCACAGCAAUUCAGUGAUUCUGGCCAUGAAAACUUUGGACAACACAUAUAUCAAAAUCCCUAUUUUUGUCCCUCAAACUUGCCCUCAACUUAUACACAAAGUCGGUGUAUAUAGAGUCCAAAAAAUGGUGCAGUCUCUUGGCACAGCUGCAGCAAAACAUUGUCCUAUCUAAGUACACAUGUCUGAAAUAAAUGUCUCUGCUGUCUUCCAUUUCCUUUGCUGCCUCCCUUGUGUUCUCUGUAAACUGCUAAAAAACCCAGAAUGUUGCACUUCUUGUUCCUUGGCUAAAGUGCCUUGUCUGUUGAUGACACCCUUAUAAAGAUACUUUUCAGCGACAUCCACAAAUAUAAGCACACACACAAAAAUAAAUCAAAGAUAAUAUUGAAGGCUUUAAGCCUGUAGCUUGUUAUUUUCAUCAUUUCCUUUUUCUUCUUUUUUUGUAAUACUUGGCUCAUUACGUCUGAGAAUUUGGAAAUGGCGUGCCAGAUUUCUAAAUGAAGCCAAUUUCACUUAGACAUUGAACCAUUUUCUUUUGCUUUGUUCCCAUUACAAACACAUAUGCAGAGCUUGGAAAGGUUCCAGUUUGGAAAGAGGGAGAAAGUUACAAGCAGUUGGUGUUGCUAUCAUGUCCACUGGUAAUCCAAAGGCACUAGAGUCUGAAGUUAAGUUGCUUCCUCCCUGGUUAGUAUUUGGAUGGGAGAAUGCCAGUAAACUAGAUUGCUGUCAAUUAUAUUUCAGAAUAAGGAACUGGCAAAACUACUACUACUACUACUACUACUAAUAAUAAUAAUAAUAAUAAUAAUAAUAAUAAUAAUAAUAAUAAUAAUAAUAAUCUUCUUAUACCCCGCCCCAUCUCCCCGAAGGGACUCGGGGUGGCUUACACAGGGACAAGCCCGAACAACAACAUAACAUAGCAUUACAUGUAUAAAAUUUAACAGCAAUUUAAAACAUUCCAACAAUAAACAAAAAUGGCAAACAAGACUAUUACUUUAAAAGCCUAUUCCUUGUUUAACAAAAUCCUACGAAAUCCAUAGAGUCACCACACAACAAGGUG
Molecule: long non-coding RNA, 2269 nt
Filed under: Anolis carolinensis (green anole)
Lineage: Eukaryota; Metazoa; Chordata; Lepidosauria; Squamata; Anolidae
Description: lncRNA (ENSACAG00000037098.1)
Source: RNAcentral